This 24-nucleotide non-coding RNA is filed under the name Cricetulus griseus (Chinese hamster). Lineage: Eukaryota; Metazoa; Chordata; Mammalia; Rodentia; Cricetidae. The record is from RNAcentral.
CCAGAGCUGUAACACAAGAGAAAU